UGCUGGAUAGCUCACUCGGUAAAGCUUCGUGCUGCGAAGCAGAAGUAACUAUCAUGUCGCGGGUUCGAUCCCCGCCUCGUAA
This is a non-coding RNA of Gymnothorax javanicus (giant moray), 82 nucleotides long. The record is from the annotation of a GenBank genome assembly. Lineage: Eukaryota; Metazoa; Chordata; Actinopteri; Anguilliformes; Muraenidae.